RNAcentral lists this long non-coding RNA (505 nucleotides) under Brassica rapa (field mustard). Its description in RNAcentral is "long non-coding RNA (BRAP_LNC007058)". The record is from RNAcentral. Lineage: Eukaryota; Viridiplantae; Streptophyta; Magnoliopsida; Brassicales; Brassicaceae.
UGUUUUGGAAAAAACAAUUUAUUUGUGUAAAUAACUUACUGGGAGAUACGUGCACAUGAACAAAACUAAUGAUUUAAGAUUGUGGAAAAUUAUUGAGAAAAACUUGGGUUCACCAACCAAUCAAAAAAAUAGUAUAUUAAAUAUAGUCUUUUUCAUAAAAGGAAACAAAAUAUUUUGAAUUUACUUCUUAAAAUAAAUAGAUAAAAAUAAAUAAAAAUAUUAGUAGUUGUAAAAAAAAAAUAUUUUUAAAAAAAUUGUUAAUGCUGUCCACCCUAAACCUUAAAUCAUAAACGCUAAAUCUAAACCCUAAACACUAAACCCUAAAUUCUUAGGUAAACCCUAAAUCUUUAUGUAAAUCAUAAAUCUUUAUGUAAAUCAUAAAUCCUUAAGUAAAUCAUAAAUACUAAACCCUAAAUUCAUAACCCUAAACACUAAACCCUAAGCCUUUGGAUAAAUUCUAAAUUCUUGGAUAAAUCCUAAACCUUUGGGUAAAACCCUAAACCCA